UGGGGAAUAUUGGGCAAUGGGCGCAAGCCUGACCCAGCAACGCCGCGUGAGGGAAGAAGGCUUUCGGGUUGUAAACCUCUGUCCUUGGUGACGAAAAAAAUGGCGGUAGCCAAGGAGGAAGCCCCGGCUAACUACGUGCCAGCAGCCGCGGUAAUACGUAGGGGGCGAGCGUUGUCCGGAAUUACUGGGCGUAAAGGGUGCGUAGGUGGCCUUUUAAGUUGGAUGUGAAAUACCCGGGCUUAACUUGGGGGGUGCAUCUAAUACUGGAGGGCUAGAGUGCAGGAGAGGAAAGCGGAAUUCCUAGUGUAGCGGUGAAAUGCGUAGAUAUUAGGAGGAACACCAGUGGCGAAGGCGGCUUUCUGGACUGUAACUGACUCUGAGUCACGAAAGCGUGGAGAGCAAACA
This 405-nucleotide ribosomal RNA is filed under the name uncultured prokaryote. RNAcentral's name for it is "bacterial SSU rRNA". It matches the Rfam family "Bacterial small subunit ribosomal RNA", at positions 355 to 774 of the family's 1533-position model. The record is from RNAcentral.